This 113-nucleotide Y RNA is filed under the name Phocoena sinus (vaquita). RNAcentral's name for it is "Y RNA (ENSPSNG00000021342.1)". It matches the Rfam family "Y RNA". Rfam says of the family: Y RNAs are components of the Ro ribonucleoprotein particle (Ro RNP), in association with Ro60 and La proteins. The Y RNAs and Ro60 and La proteins are well conserved, but the function of the Ro RNP is not known. Lineage: Eukaryota; Metazoa; Chordata; Mammalia; Artiodactyla; Phocoenidae. RNAcentral also lists the same sequence under 1 other name. The record is from Rfam by way of RNAcentral.
AGCUUGUCCGAAGGUAGUGCAUUAUCUCAAUAGAUUGUUCACAGUCAGUUACAGAUCGCACUCCUCAUUCUGCUCCUCCCCCCCUUCUCACUACUGCACUUGACUAGUCUUAA